AGUGAACGCUGGCGGUAGGCCUAACACAUGCAAGUCGAACGGCAGCACAGUAAGAGCUUGCUCUUACGGGUGGCGAGUGGCGGACGGGUGAGGAAUACAUCGGAAUCUACUUUUUCGUGGGGGAUAACGUAGGGAAACUUACGCUAAUACCGCAUACGACCUACGGGUGAAAGCAGGGGAUCUUCGGACCUUGCGCGAUUGAAUGAGCCGAUGUCGGAUUAGCUAGUUGGCGGGGUAAAGGCCCACCAAGGCGACGAUCCGUAGCUGGUCUGAGAGGAUGAUAGGCCACACUGGAACUGAGACACGGUCCAGACUCCUAAGGGAGGCAGCAGUGGGGAAUAUUGGACAAAGGGCGCAAGCCUGAUCCAGCCAUACCGCGUGGGUGAAGAAGGCCUUCGGGUUGUAAAGACCUUUUGUUGGGAAAGAAAAGCAGCAGGUUAAUACCCCGCUGUUCUGACGGUACCCAAAGAAUAAGCACCGGCUAACUUCGUG
RNAcentral lists this ribosomal RNA (492 nucleotides) under uncultured bacterium. RNAcentral describes it as "partial 16S ribosomal RNA". It matches the Rfam family "Bacterial small subunit ribosomal RNA", at positions 29 to 507 of the family's 1533-position model. The record is from RNAcentral.